RNAcentral lists this ribosomal RNA (330 nucleotides) under uncultured bacterium. RNAcentral's name for it is "bacterial SSU rRNA". It matches the Rfam family "Bacterial small subunit ribosomal RNA", at positions 568 to 898 of the family's 1533-position model. The record is from RNAcentral.
UGUGUAGGCGGUGCUCUAAGUCUGUCGUGAAAUCUCCCGGCUUAACUGGGAGGGUGCGGCGGAGACUGGAGUGCUCGAGUGUGGGAGAGGUAAGCGGAAUUCCUGGUGUAGCGGUGAAAUGCGUAGAUAUCAGGAGGAACACCUGUGGUGUAGACAGCUUACUGGACCACGACUGACGCUGAGACACGAAAGCGUGGGUAGCAAACAGGAUUAGAUACCCUGGUAGUCCACGCCCUAAACGAUGCAUACUUGGUGUGAGCCAUUCAUUUGGUUCGUGCCGGAGCUAACGCGUUAAGUAUGCCGCCUGGGGAGUACGGUCGCAAGGCUGAA